RNAcentral lists this transfer RNA (69 nucleotides) under Salarias fasciatus (jewelled blenny). RNAcentral describes it as "tRNA-Phe". It matches the Rfam family "tRNA". From Rfam's summary of the family: Transfer RNA (tRNA) molecules are approximately 80 nucleotides in length. Their secondary structure includes four short double-helical elements and three loops (D, anti-codon, and T loops). Lineage: Eukaryota; Metazoa; Chordata; Actinopteri; Blenniiformes; Blenniidae. The record is from RNAcentral.
GCUAUCGUAGCUUAACUAAAGCAUAACACUGAAGAUGUUAAGAUAAACCCUAGAAAGGUUUCGGGAGCA